CGCACCUUGCACUCUUUGGUAUUCCGAAGAGUAUGUCUGUUUGAGUGUCAUGAAUCUCUCAACCCCCUUAUUUUGUAAUAAAAUAAGAGCUUUGGGUUUGGAUUGUGGCCGUCUGCCGGCAUCGAUCGGCUCGGCUGAAAUACACUGAGCUGCCAACAGUCUUAUUAAAACGGCUUGACUCGGCGUAAUAAACUAUUUCGCUGAAGACGAUUUGAGGACGAAUGGCGCUUCUAAUGCGAUCUGUUAAAUCAGUGACUUUCAGUUUAGACCUCAAAUCAGUCAGGACUACCCGCUGAACUUAA
This 302-nucleotide unclassified non-coding RNA is filed under the name fungal sp. RNAcentral's name for it is "partial contains 5.8S ribosomal RNA, internal transcribed spacer 2, and large subunit ribosomal RNA". The record is from RNAcentral. Lineage: Eukaryota; Fungi.